UACGUAGGGUGCGAGCGUUGUCCGGAAUUACUGGGCGUAAAGAGCUCGUAGGUGGUUUGUCGCGUUGUCCGUGAAAACUCACAACUCAAUUGUGGGCGUGCGGGCGAUACGGGCAGACUGGAGUACUGCAGGGGAGACUGGAAUUCCUGGUGUAGCGGUGGAAUGCGCAGAUAUCAGGAGGAACACCGGUGGCGAAGGCGGGUCUCUGGGCAGUAACUGACGCUGAGGAGCGAAAGCGUGGGGGAGCGAACGGG
This 254-nucleotide ribosomal RNA is filed under the name uncultured bacterium. RNAcentral describes it as "partial 16S ribosomal RNA". It matches the Rfam family "Bacterial small subunit ribosomal RNA", at positions 524 to 776 of the family's 1533-position model. The record is from RNAcentral.